This is a microRNA precursor of Monodelphis domestica (gray short-tailed opossum), 92 nucleotides long. Lineage: Eukaryota; Metazoa; Chordata; Mammalia; Didelphimorphia; Didelphidae. The record is from Ensembl.
CUGGGGGAGCUGCUCUCUGGGGUCCCUUCCAGGCCUGAGUCCUGGGUUCUAGGAGAGGGGCUUUGGGGUGGGGUGCCAGGAAGGCCCCAGGC